GGCUGGUUAGCUCAGUCAGUAGAGCAUAGCUAACAAUGCUAAGGUCGUGGGUUCGAUUCCCAUUCAGUCC
This 70-nucleotide transfer RNA is filed under the name Apaloderma vittatum (bar-tailed trogon). It matches the Rfam family "tRNA". Rfam says of the family: Transfer RNA (tRNA) molecules are approximately 80 nucleotides in length. Their secondary structure includes four short double-helical elements and three loops (D, anti-codon, and T loops). Further hydrogen bonds mediate the characteristic L-shaped molecular structure. tRNAs have two regions of fundamental functional importance: the anti-codon, which is responsible for specific mRNA codon recognition, and the 3' end, to which the tRNAs corresponding amino acid is attached (by aminoacyl-tRNA synthetases). tRNAs cope with the degeneracy of the genetic code in two manners: having more than one tRNA (with a specific anti-codon) for a particular amino acid; and 'wobble' base-pairing, i.e. permitting non-standard base-pairing at the 3rd anti-codon position. Lineage: Eukaryota; Metazoa; Chordata; Aves; Trogoniformes; Trogonidae. The record is from Rfam by way of RNAcentral.